This 403-nucleotide ribosomal RNA is filed under the name uncultured microorganism. Its description in RNAcentral is "bacterial SSU rRNA". It matches the Rfam family "Archaeal small subunit ribosomal RNA", at positions 330 to 735 of the family's 1478-position model. The record is from RNAcentral.
GUGCACCAGGCGCGAAACCUCCGCAAUACACGAAAGUGUGACGGGGCCAUCCCGAGUGCCGUCCGCUGAGGACGGCUUUUCCCCAGUGUACACAGCUGGGGGAAUAAGGAGAGGGCAAGCCUGGUGUCAGCCGCCGCGGUAAUACCAGCUCUCCGAGUGGUGGGGACGCUUAUUGGGCCUAAAGCAUCCGUAGCCGGCUGGGCAAGUCCUCCGUUAAAUCCAACGAUUCAAUCGUUGGGCUGCGGGGGAUACUGUCCAGCUUGGGGGCGGGAGAGGCCGACGGUAUUCCCGGGGUAGGGGUGAAAUCCUAUAAUCCCGGGAGGACCACCAGUGGCGAAGGCUGUCGGCUAGAACGCGCCCGACGGUGAGGGAUGAAAGCUGGGGGAGCGAACCGGAUUAGAUA